UAUGUGAUCGUCUCUCGCAUAUCAAUAAGCGGAGGAAAAGAAACUAACAAGGAUUCCCUUAGUAACGGCGAGUGAAGCGGGAAGAGCUCAAAUUUGAAAUCUUCAAGGUUUUACCUUGACGAAUUGUAGUUUAAAGAAGUGUUUUCUGUUGAAGUUUUGGUAAAAGUUCUUUGGAAUAGGACAUCAUAGAGGGUGAGAAUCCCGUAUUUGACCAUUAUUUUCAGCUGUGUGAUACACUUUCAAAGAGUCGGAUUGUUUGGGAAUGCAGUCCAAAAUGGGUGGUAAAUUUCAUCUAAAGCUAAAUAUUGGCGAGAGACCGAUAGCGAACAAGUACCGUGAGGGAAAGAUGAAAAGAACUUUGAAAAGAGAGUUAAACAGUACGUGAAAUUGUCAAAAGGGAAGCGUUUGACACCAGUGUUGUUUUCUCGAAAAUCAAUUAAAAAGAGUUUGAUUUUGUUGUGUAUUGACCUUAACAGCUUGCAUUUCAAUUUUCUUGCUUUUUUUAAUGCACUUUUCGUUUAACAAGUCAACAUCAGUUUCUUUUGUUGUAAAAAGGGUCAUUGGAAGGUGGCUCUCUUUUCGGAGAAAGUGUUUAUAGCCUUUGACUCCUGCAAUCGGAGAGACUGAGGUCUGCAGCGUAGAUCCUUCGGGGUUAGAUACAUUUGUGCUAAGUUAUAGCUUUUUAUAGACAACUUGUUGACUAUGAUUAGUCUUGUAGCUUACUCGCUUAUGCUAUUUUACCUACGCUUAGGAUGUUGAAGAUGUAGCACAUCAU
This 775-nucleotide ribosomal RNA is filed under the name uncultured Neocallimastigales. RNAcentral describes it as "partial large subunit ribosomal RNA". It matches the Rfam family "Eukaryotic large subunit ribosomal RNA", at positions 24 to 620 of the family's 3401-position model. Lineage: Eukaryota; Fungi; Neocallimastigomycota; Neocallimastigomycetes; Neocallimastigales. The record is from RNAcentral.